RNAcentral lists this ribosomal RNA (94 nucleotides) under Staphylococcus epidermidis. Its description in RNAcentral is "partial 16S ribosomal RNA". It matches the Rfam family "Bacterial small subunit ribosomal RNA", at positions 1447 to 1533 of the family's 1533-position model. Lineage: Bacteria; Bacillati; Bacillota; Bacilli; Caryophanales; Staphylococcaceae. The record is from RNAcentral.
AGCUAGGCGUCGAAGGUGGGACAAAUGAUUGGGGUGAAGUCGUAACAAGGUAGCCGUAUCGGAAGGUGCGGCUGGAUCACCUCCUUUCUAAGGA